GGGUCUGUGGAGGAGGGCAGCCCUGGCACUAAGUGCGUUCCUCUGGCAAAGAAGAAAAUAAUUUCUGUCCCUCGCCAUCUGCUGCAUGGGAAGAUGGGAAUGGAGUGAGCACGGUAUGAGGGGAUCAGGAACGUCAAGGGGCUGUGUCCAGCUGCCCAAACCAUCCAAGAGGCCGGCACCGUGCUGAGGACAGUGGCGGGGACAGGAGCCAAGGUUCAUCAUCGUACCCCAAGGCCUGGGCAAGACAGAUGCUGCGUCCUGCAAUGGCCCCACCAUGGACCCUCGUCAUCCAACCGAAGUCGCCCCCUUGCCUGGCUUU
This 319-nucleotide long non-coding RNA is filed under the name Homo sapiens (human). RNAcentral's name for it is "HSALNT0297436". Lineage: Eukaryota; Metazoa; Chordata; Mammalia; Primates; Hominidae. The record is from RNAcentral.